RNAcentral lists this ribosomal RNA (460 nucleotides) under uncultured bacterium. RNAcentral's name for it is "bacterial SSU rRNA". It matches the Rfam family "Bacterial small subunit ribosomal RNA", at positions 917 to 1382 of the family's 1533-position model. The record is from RNAcentral.
GGGCCCGCACAAGCGGUGGAGUAUGUGGUUUAAUUCGAAGCAACGCGAAGAACCUUACCAGGCCUUGACAUGGUCCUAAAGACCCUAGAGAUAGGGGGAUAGUUAUAGGACACACAGGUGGUGCAUGGUUGUCGUCAGCUCGUGUCGUGAGAUGUUGGGUUAAGUCCCGCAACGAGCGCAACCCUUGUCGUUAGUUACCAUCAUUCAGUUGGGGACUCUAGCGAGACUGCCGGUGACAAACCGGAGGAAGGUGGGGAUGACGUCAAAUCAUCAUGCCCCUUAUGGCCUGGGCUACACACGUACUACAAUGGCGAGCACAACGGGAAGCAAGACAGUGAUGUCAAGCGGAUCCCUUAAAACUCGUCUCAGUUCGGAUCGAAGUCUGCAACUCGACUUCGUGAAGUUGGAAUCGCUAGUAAUCGCGGAUCAGCAUGCCGCGGUGAAUACGUUCUCGGGCCUU